AAUUCUUAUAAGGCGAUUCGAUUGAGCAUGAUUAUGUUCAAAUUAACCUUUGGAUAUGGGUAGGUGUUUGGUUGACAAACUUCUUAAGCGUGUUGCAUUUUAACGAAGAAAAUUUGAAUUUUCAAAUCCCGUAUAGCGUGUAAAAAAAUAUACAUUAAACACGUAUUAUGAGCAGAAGACUACAUAGACCUAAUAUGAAAUAAAACGCACAAAAGAAUAUUACGCACAAAUAAU
Schizosaccharomyces pombe (fission yeast) is the source of this 234-nucleotide non-coding RNA. The record is from the annotation of a GenBank genome assembly. NCBI's taxonomy places the organism in Eukaryota, Fungi, Ascomycota, Schizosaccharomycetes, Schizosaccharomycetales, Schizosaccharomycetaceae.